GGUAGAGCACUGAAUGGUAAUCCGUGCCUUCACGGGUAGGAUCACCAAACAAACUCCGAAUACUCUUGUGGAAUGUAUGGCAGUGAGUAAGCGAGGGCAAAGCUUCGUUUACGCGAGGGAAACAGCCCAGAUCGCAGCUUAAGGUCCCAAAAUGUAUACUAAGUGAAAAGGAAGUGUUUUACCUUAGACAGGUAGGAGGUUGGCUUAGAAGCAGCCAUCCUUUAAAGAGUGCGUAAUAGCUCACUAUUCGAUCCUAUCGCAAGAUAGGGAGGUAAAAUGCGCCGAAAAUUUAUAGGGGCUAAGUAUACUACCGAAAGCGCGGAUUCGGUGAUUUCAUAAAGGAAAGUUUGUGGGUCCGUGGCGCAGAUGGGAGCGCGCUGGAUUCUCAGUCCAGAGGUCGGAGGUUCGAGUCCUUCCGGACCCACCAAACUUGCGAGCAGAGAUAGUUCAAGAGAAGAACAUCUGGCCUCAUAAGCCAGAGAUACGUGGCGCAACUCCACGGCUCUACUCCAAAUAAAUCAGGCGAAGUUGAACGAAGCACGUCGACGAAGACUACAAUCAAUCGUUCAAACUUCCCACCGCCGACGUACCGGACCAUUGGUCCAGUACGUCGGCUCCUUUAUGAAAUCACCGAGUGGUAGGGGAGCAUUCUCGACCGCUGUGAAGGUUCACUGUGAAGUGGGCUGGAGCGUCGAGAAGGGAGAAUGUUGGGAUGAGUAACCGCAAAUCCGGUUAAAGUCCGGAUCGUCGAAAGCCUAAGGUUUCCUCCGCGAUGACAAUCAUCGGAGGGUUAGGCGUCCCUAAGGAUAACCAUGGUUUAGGCCAUGGGAAGCCGAUGGUGAGCCGGUUAAUAUUCCGGCCCNNGUAGGAAUUCUGUCUGGAAAAUCCGACAGAGGCCGUAAGGCAGUUCCGAGAAUAGAAGAAAUUAUCGCAAGAUAAAAUUUGGCUGAAGAGGGCUCCAAGAAAAGUCUCUAAGUUUAAUGCAUGAGCGCACGUACCGAAAACCGACACAGGUGGGCAGGUGUAAGUGCACCAAGACGAACGGGUGAUUAUUGGUUAAGGAACUCGGCAAAAAAGCGGCCGUAAGUUCGCGAUAAGGCCUGCCGCGCGCAAGCGCGGCCACAGCUAAAGAACCCCUGGCGACUGUUUAUCAAAAACACAACUCCGUGCUAAGGCGUAAGCCGCUGUAUACGGGGUGACGCUUGUCCGGUGCCGGAACGUUAACGGUGGAGGUGGUAUGUCGCAAGAUGUACUGCUGACGCCCGAAGCGCCGGUGAACGACGGCAGUAACUAUAACUGUCUAAAAGUAGGUUAUUCACUGCUUUUAUAAAAUCUGACUAUUUGCUGGAAACUCUGAGUAUCGAGGGCUACAAUAUGGUAUAAUAAUACCAUGCGUAAUAAUGCUUCUCGUGCAGACAAUCAGCAGGAAAGAUUAAGGUUCGAGGGCUGGAUUAGUGGUUUUGUCGAUGGCGAGGGAUGCUUUACUAUAAGCAUUAUUCGGAAUCGAUCAGUAACUACUAGACAAGGCUGGCAAAUAUUUCCAGAAUUCGUGGUAAGUCAAGGCGAAAAAAGUCGUACUGCAUUACAAAAAAUCGAAAGAUAUUUUGAAUGUGGCUACAUAAAUCUAAACACGCGUCGAGACAAUCAUCACGAGCAAAUGUUGAAAUAUUGUGUCAGAUCAAUCCACGACCUCGAUGAAAAAAUAAUACCGUUUUUUGAGAGAAAUAAAUUGAAAACGUCAAAGAAAAACGAUUUUCAAGUGUUUAAGAAGGUCAUCAAAUUGAUGAUUAAACGGAAACAUCUUUCAGAAAAAGGAUUAGAGCGAGUACGAAAUUUGCUUCAGACAAUGAAUCGAAGAAAGUAUGAGCGAGCCUUAAAAUCCUCAGAGACUAUAUGUCAGACUCUACCUCUUGCGUCAAAAUAGGAGGAGAGAAGAUAUAGUCCGAUCUGCAUGGCGACAUGCAGGAUUGAUUACUCAUCAAUCACCUCAUUUAUGAGGAAACAAAAAGAGCGAAAUUCCUUGUCGGGUGAGUUCCGACCUGCACGAAUGGCAUAACGACUUGUAGACUGUCCCAACAAUGUACUCGGCGAAAUUGCGUGGGGAGUGAAGAUGCUCUCUAUGCGUAGUUGGACGAAAAGACCCCGUGAAGCUUUACUAUAGCUUAAUAUUGGGUUAUGACUAUGCAUGUUCAGAAUAGGUGGGAGCCGCAAGGCAACAGUGAGAUACCACCCUUGUAUAUUUGUAACCCUAACCCUCAGGCCUUGAAUCAGGUCAGGGGACAGUAUUUGGUGGGUAGUUUGUCUGGGGCGGAUGCCUCCCAAAGAGUAACGGAGGCGUUUACAAAGGUUGGCUAUCCCGGAAUGGAAACCCGGGAGAUAGUGUAAAGGCAAAAGCCAGCUUUACUGCAAGACCAGCAAGUCGAGCAGUUGCGAAAGCAGAACUUAGUGAUCCGACCGUUCGAUAUAGGACGGCGGAAGCUCAUCGGAUAAAAGCUACUCCGGGGAUAACAGGCUAGUCACGCCCAAGCGUCCACAGCGACGGCGUGGUUCGGCACCUCGAUGUCGGCUCGUCGCAUCCUGGGGGUGAAGAAGCUCCCAAGGGUUGGGCUGUUCGCCCAUUAAAGCGGCACGCGAGCUGGGUUCAGACCGUCGUAAGACAGGUCGGUCUCCUAUCCACUAUGGUCGUGGAAACUUGAGAAGGCUCUUCCCUAGUACGAGAGGACCGGGAAGGACGAAGCUCUAGUGUGCCGGCUGUCCCACCAGGGGCAUUGCCGGGUAGCUACCUUCGGUUUGGAUAAGCGCUGAAGGCAUAUAAGCGCGAAGCCGUCUUCAAGAUUAGGUUUCAUAGAGUCGUCGGAGAACACGACGUUAAUAGGCUCUAGGUGUAAGUGCAGUAAUGCAUUCAGCCGAGGAGUACUAAUCACUCAAAUGAUUUUCCC
Molecule: ribosomal RNA, 2939 nt
Filed under: Candidatus Falkowiibacteriota bacterium
Lineage: Bacteria; Candidatus Falkowiibacteriota
Description: bacterial LSU rRNA
Rfam family: Bacterial large subunit ribosomal RNA
Source: RNAcentral